RNAcentral lists this ribosomal RNA (511 nucleotides) under uncultured bacterium. RNAcentral describes it as "bacterial SSU rRNA". It matches the Rfam family "Bacterial small subunit ribosomal RNA", at positions 28 to 531 of the family's 1533-position model. The record is from RNAcentral.
GAUGAACGCUAGCGGGAGGCUUAACACAUGCAAGUCGAGGGGCAGCAUAGGGUAGCAAUACUCUGAUGGCGACCGGCAAACGGGUGAGUAACGCGUAUGUAACCUACCCUGUACAGGGGGAUAACCCGGAGAAAUUCGGACUAAUAUCCCAUAACAAUAUCCGGGGGCAUCUUUGGAUAUUUAAAGUUCCGGCGGUACGGGAUGGGCAUGCGUAACAUUAGCUAGUUGGUAAGGUAACGGCUUACCAAGGCUUUGAUGUUUAGGGGUCCUGAGAGGGUGGUCCCCCACACUGGUACUGAGACACGGACCAGACUCCUACGGGAGGCAGCAGUGAGGAAUAUUGGUCAAUGGGCGCAAGCCUGAACCAGCCAUCCCGCGUGCAGGAAGACGGCGCUAUGCGUUGUAAACUGCUUUUCCAGGGAGAGAAACUUGCGCACGUGUUGCGCAAUUGACGGUACCCUGGGAAUAAGCAUCGGCUAACUCCGUGCCAGCAGCCGCGGUAAAACGUCUA